This 490-nucleotide ribosomal RNA is filed under the name uncultured bacterium. RNAcentral describes it as "bacterial SSU rRNA". It matches the Rfam family "Bacterial small subunit ribosomal RNA", at positions 501 to 987 of the family's 1533-position model. The record is from RNAcentral.
CUACGUGCCAGCAGCCGCGGUAAUACGUAGGGCGCGAGCGUUGUCCGGAAUUAUUGGGCGUAAAGAGCUUGUAGGCGGUUUGUCGCGUCUGCUGUGAAAGGCCGGGGCUUAACUCCGUGUAUUGCAGUGGGUACGGGCAGACUAGAGUGCAGUAGGGGAGACUGGAAUUCCUGGUGUAGCGGUGGAAUGCGCAGAUAUCAGGAGGAACACCGAUGGCGAAGGCAGGUCUYUGGGCUGUAACUGACGCUGAGAAGCGAAAGCAUGGGGAGCGAACAGGAUUAGAUACCCUGGUAGUCCAUGCCGUAAACGUUGGGCACUAGGUGUGGGGAACAUUCCACGUUUUCCGCGCCGUAGCUAACGCAUUAAGUGCCCCGCCUGGGGAGUACGGCCGCAAGGCUAAAACUCAAAGAAAUUGACGGGGGCCCGCACAAGCGGCGGAGCAUGCGGAUUAAUUCGAUGCAACGCGAAGAACCUUACCAAGGCUUGACAU